GUUAUAAGAAUUUGUUUAUAUUUGCAGAUUAAAUAAUAAAAUAAACACUUUUCCUGUUAUUUUAAAUUAAAAUUUUCUUCUGUUUCAGCUUGUGUACAGUUAUUCAAUCCACUAGUAAGAAUUCAGUGAAUACAUUAUUCCACACUAAACAUUUUCCUUCAAUUCUAAGAGAAACAUUUUUGCAAAUUGUUCUUCAAUGAUCUUCUUCUGUAUAUUUGAUUAUGAGGGAGUGAUGUAAAUGAGUGGAUAAAACUGGUGUUCCUUUUUUCAACAACAAAAUAGUAUUUUUUCUGCAUUUCUCCUUUCUUUCGACUAAUAUAUAUAAUAUGUUGUUGCUCUUAUACAAAAGUGUUUUUGUGUAUCUAUGACAGAACUCCAUUUUGUUUAAGGCCAUUAUCAUGUGAUUAUGAUGAAAUUUCCUAUUUCUUUUUUGUAGGAAAGCACACAUUCCAGUUCAAUUUCCUCUUCAGUAAUGGCCUAUUGAUCAUGAAAACAAAAGAUGUCUGAUCACCUAUAAAUACACAAAAUAAACAAAUAAAAUGUUAUACAUGGAGAGAGAAACAGAUUUAAUUUCUUGCUAACUGUAAACCAACUUAUUUUCGCGAGCGAUUUAUUUUCACAAGCAAUUUAUUUUCGCAUUUAGAAAUAUAAUGCGCAUAUA
RNAcentral lists this long non-coding RNA (661 nucleotides) under Mytilus galloprovincialis (Mediterranean mussel). The record is from RNAcentral. Lineage: Eukaryota; Metazoa; Mollusca; Bivalvia; Mytilida; Mytilidae.